CGCUCCUGGCCCCAGGGAGGGAGCGCACGGGCUCCUGCUGGGGCUUCCGCGCCUGCGUGCGCGUGGGAGAGUGUGUGAGCCUGAGUGUGUGGUCUGCAGGGGGAUUACUGCCUGAAAGUCUUCCAGGAGCCCAACGAGGCAGACAUAGUACCAACAUAUUAAAGUUCUCAAUGGAAGACGCAUUGGUAUCUCAUGCAUCUUCCCUGACCAAAGGCUGGGAUUUUGAAGCGGGCCAUUUCAGGAGUCCCGAUGUCCUUCUCCGGGUCCCUUCGGAUCCGAUCUUGACAUCUUUGUUGUUGCAGAAAUGAAGGAACUGGACUCGAUGGCCCCUCGGGACCCUUCCAGCACCAGACCCAAGUAUCCUGUGAAGCAAAUCAUUGCAGCCAGAGAAGGAAGAGAAGUGGAGAGGAAUCACCCUGAAAAGAUACUGGCAUCUAUUGUUAUAUCGAGAUGACUGGCAUUCGUGUCUAACGGUCUCGGCUCAGCCCGGAUGCCCUCUAUGGGUGCAGCAAAAGAACGAAGUAGCUGUUAUGUACCAUUGCAAGGUCACAACUUUCUAGGGCCUGCCAAAGAGUGGAAUACUGAAUCCCUGGAGUCUUUCAGUGUUCCCUCCUUCCCUCCACUCCUUGGUGAGCAUUGUCCUGACCUUGGGACUAGAGACCUGUAAUUGGCUGCCGUGACCCCUCCCACCGGGGGCUGCAGGGAGCCAUGGGGUUGGCAGUGGUGUGGAUGACGGAAGCCCCAGGGGAUGGUCACUCCAAGGCCCUGGAAGCCCUGAGCCGGAGACGGCCAGAAGAAAUCCCGAGGAAGACACGGGCAGAAUUUGCAUCGCCAGCAUGGACCAGCACUUCAGUCUUUCUUCCAUGAGUUCCCCAGUGAGGAAAAGUCUCCUCCUUACAAGCUUGUUCACCUUUCUGAGUUAAAUAUUUGCUUUGGCUUUUGAGCUCCACUUUGAUAAAAUCUGUUAACCACA
RNAcentral lists this long non-coding RNA (973 nucleotides) under Sarcophilus harrisii (Tasmanian devil). RNAcentral's name for it is "lncRNA (ENSSHAG00000023888.1)". Lineage: Eukaryota; Metazoa; Chordata; Mammalia; Dasyuromorphia; Dasyuridae. The record is from RNAcentral.